This 1034-nucleotide long non-coding RNA is filed under the name Homo sapiens (human). RNAcentral's name for it is "non-protein coding lnc-IRX3-80:15". Lineage: Eukaryota; Metazoa; Chordata; Mammalia; Primates; Hominidae. The record is from RNAcentral.
CAUGGAGACGGGAAGCUGGCUGCAGCGGCGGCGGGGACCGUGGGGCCGAGGUGGCUGCCAGCCGGCCAAUGUCUAAGCGAGGCGGAGCGGCCCAGGCGGCCCGAGCCUGGGGGAGCGCGCAGCCGGCCAGUGGCGGCCUCGCCGGCGGCCUCUUCCCGGGCUCGCAGUAGGCCCGAGUCGUCGCCGGGAGCUCCUGGGAGCAGCGUCCCCGCCCUGCUCCCCUCGCUCCCGCCUCUUGCGGCCCCACGGCCCCUCAGCGCCCGCCCCCGGCUCCGCCCGCCGCAGCCGCAGCCCCUGGCGCUAACGGUCGGUAACGGCCCGCGCGCGCCGCCCGCCGGGGGCUCGCGCCAGCCACGAGGGAGCGUCCGCGGCCCGCGCGCCCGCGCGGCGGAGGAGAGGUGUUAAGUGUGAUGCUUCCAUAAUACAUUUGGAUGCUGUCAGCUAAGUUCACUUCUGAACUAAGGGGUUCCUCCAAAUGUUGGCUGAAAUUCAUCCCAAGGCUGGUCUGCAAAGUCUGCAAUUCAUAAUGGAGCUACUGUACUGGCUAUUGGAAGGAGGAGAUUCUGAAGAUAAGGAGGUAAAACCUGUUUAGAAAUUAAAAAUGAGUUACGAUUUAAAGAAAAUUCAGAUGACUCAUUGUGAGUGCUAGUUCUCUUGUAGGAUGCCACUGGAAAUGUUGAAAUGAAAAAUAUUCAGCCGUUGGUCUUUGAAAUUUCCUGUGAUGUGUUUCAAUCUAGAUGCAAAGAACAUGGAAAAAUCAAAGUGCUCGAGUGGUUUAAAUAUGUUUUGGGUAUUCCUGUUUAUAGACUAUAAUACUUUUCCAAUUAAAAUCCUCAGUUGUCACGCAGAAGAAGGUUAAGCUGUAUUUGAUUGCCAGUUUUACUGAAAAUGCUUAGUAUUUUACAGUAUCACCAAAUAUAUUUUGUUUAGCCAAGGUAUAGGAAAAAUAAAAUAAAUUGUAUAGGUUGACUUUUUUCUAAAAUGUCUUUAUUGGAUUGAAUGAAUGUUUAUACCUGAAAAAAAAAGGUUCAAAA